AAGAAACUUUAUUAGUGGAGAGAUUAGACUGCACUUAACCUCUAAUGAUGGCUGAAGAAAGAAGUUUCUGCACGACACUUUUUUUAUUUGAUAGUUUCAAUGUGAAGAAAGGAAGGGGAGCAGCGGGGGGAGACGAGCACGCCUGCUGCAUGACAGCUCCAUAUCUGAAAGCAGGGUUCUUUCGCAGGGAGACCGCCACCACUCCUUCCCCACCCUCUCUCUGAUGAUGUACAGCUGUUUCCUUUCCCUUUUUCCUUUCCCUUCUCCCCGUUCCUUCUCUCUAACCUCCCACCAUCUCUUUUGCUAGUCAAAGGCCCUUCCCCUCCCCCUGUCUUCGCCACAAAAAAAUAGGCCAAGGUAACUUGUCGGCGCCUCCCCCUGCCCCCCUCCCCGGGGGUUUGUGUGAUAUUUAACUACGGCUACAGUGGCAUUUACUAAUUUUAUAUGUGCAGAAUUUAUGUCAGAUUCUUAUUCAGCGAGAACAGGGGAGAGGAGCAAAGGUGGCUGGCUCCGUGUCCACUGUGUAUACACUGGUAUUAUGUGAACUAUUCACAACACGUCCACUGACAUGAGCAUCGCUAUUUUGUCUAUAACUCUGCUGCUUUCCGACCCAGGUGCCACAAUUAAAGCCUAACCUUAGCAUUUGGAGAGGGAGACAUGAAGAGCCAAUUUGUUGUCUGCAACGCAGCUGCCUUUGAUACAAAGAAGUGAGUAAAGUUUUUUUUUUUCUUUCUUUUUUUAUGGAACUCGCAGGCCUGGCUCUACAUUUUGUUGACAGGGAUGUGAGGUCAAUCAGAUCCUACAGACAGCGACACACAAAAAAUGGCAUUCGGUGGUAUACUAAAACACACUAAUGACACAUGCAGAGCCACCCACAUAUAUACACCAUAUGCAAGCACGCAUUCACACAGGCAUGCUGUGCAUCACAGUCAAACUUGUGUAGUGUAUAUAACUUAAGAAAUGCAUUAAUUAAUUCAUUUUCUGAAUUAAAGUUAACGUAGUCUGCUUUAAAGUUACACUUUAUAAAAGCUCACCACUAGAUGUCAGUAGAUUGCCGAUUGCGGUCAAAUUUGCAGAAUUAUGUUUUUUAAUCCAUCCCAUUCAAGGGUAUAAUUCUUGCUAUGGUGGACACUGUAAGACAAACAACUCUAGUAUCCGUUCAUCUGUAGCGAAUGUAGGCUGUUAGUCCGCUGUUUAUUUCUGCCUCACUAUGUAUCCCUAUCUAUUUACUCUGCAGGAGGCUGUAAAAAUUCAUGAAAGAAGUCCGAUCUGAGACACUGAGUCAGUGAACCUCACUUCUCACUGAUGAGUGAUAUGAAGUUGUUGAGGUAUCCUGUACUUUUCUGAUGCUGUUAGCCUCUGUUAACUGCUGUUAGCCACUGUCAGCUGUUGUUAGCUGG
Long non-coding RNA from Astatotilapia calliptera (eastern happy), 1400 nucleotides. The record is from Ensembl. Lineage: Eukaryota; Metazoa; Chordata; Actinopteri; Cichliformes; Cichlidae.